This 465-nucleotide ribosomal RNA is filed under the name Vreelandella stevensii. RNAcentral's name for it is "partial 16S ribosomal RNA". It matches the Rfam family "Bacterial small subunit ribosomal RNA", at positions 338 to 795 of the family's 1533-position model. The record is from RNAcentral. Lineage: Bacteria; Pseudomonadati; Pseudomonadota; Gammaproteobacteria; Oceanospirillales; Halomonadaceae.
CCUACGGGUGGCAGCAGUGGGGAAUAUUGGACAAUGGGCGAAAGCCUGAUCCAGCCAUGCCGCGUGUGUGAAGAAGGCCUUCGGGUUGUAAAGCACUUUCAGUGGGGAAGAAAGCCUUGGGGCUAAUACCCUCGAGGAAGGACAUCACCCACAGAAGAAGCACCGGCUAACUCCGUGCCAGCAGCCGCGGUAAUACGGAGGGUGCGAGCGUUAAUCGGAAUUACUGGGCGUAAAGGGCGCGUAGGCGGUCUGAUAAGCCGGUUGUGAAAGCCCCGGGCUCAACCUGGGAACGGCAUCCGGAACUGUCAGGCUAGAGUGCAGGAGAGGAAGGUAGAAUUCCCGGUGUAGCGGUGAAAUGCGUAGAGAUCGGGAGGAAUACCAGUGGCGAAGGCGGCCUUCUGGACUGACACUGACGCUGAGGUGCGAAAGCGUGGGUAGCAAACAGGAUUAGAUACCUCGGUAGUC